CCCUUAGAUGUUCGGGGCCGCACGCGCGCUACACUGAAGGAAUCAGCACGUCUUUCUCCUUGUCCGAAAGGACUGGGUAACCCGCUGAACCUCCUUCGUGCUAGGGAUUGGGGCUUGUAAUUCUUCCCCAUGAACGAGGAAUUCCCAGUAAGCGCGAGUCAUAAGCUCGCGUUGAUUACGUCCCUGCCCUUUGUACACACCGCCCGUCGCUACUACCGAUUGGAUGGUUUAGUGAGAUCCUCGGAUUGGUCCCGGCGCGGCCUCUGGUCGUGCCGGAGUGCCGAAAAGAAUGUCCAACUUGAUCAUCUAGAGGAAGUAAAAGUCGUAACA
This 330-nucleotide ribosomal RNA is filed under the name uncultured eukaryote. Its description in RNAcentral is "partial 18S ribosomal RNA". It matches the Rfam family "Eukaryotic small subunit ribosomal RNA", at positions 1470 to 1796 of the family's 1831-position model. The record is from RNAcentral.